AGUCGAUGGGAUUCUAACGGGCUGCUGCAUCUUUCUUAUUUCCGUCUUUAUACUUAGUCCUUUAGCUCAGUUGGUUAGAGCGCUACACUGAUAAUGUAGAGGUCCGCAGUUCAAAUCUGCGAAGGACUACGGAUUAAGAUGGGGAAUUAGCUCAGCUGGCUAGAGCGCCUGCUUUGCACGCAGGAGGUCAUCGGUUCGACUCCGAUAUUCUCCACUAGGAAAGUUCUUUGACAUACUGGUAGAAAAAUUUAAUCUUUAUAAGUAAUUAAGAGCAAUUGGUGGAUGCCUUGGC
Molecule: transfer RNA, 292 nt
Filed under: uncultured Bacteroidota bacterium
Lineage: Bacteria; Pseudomonadati; Bacteroidota
Description: uncultured Bacteroidetes bacterium partial 16S-23S ribosomal RNA intergenic spacer
Rfam family: tRNA (bases 56-129)
Source: RNAcentral